Molecule: ribosomal RNA, 405 nt
Filed under: uncultured bacterium
Lineage: Bacteria
Description: partial 16S ribosomal RNA
Rfam family: Bacterial small subunit ribosomal RNA
Source: RNAcentral
GAUGAACGCUGGCGGCGUGCCUAAUACAUGCAAGUCGAGCGAAGGGGGGAGGGGUGAGUAAAGCGUGGAUACCCGCCGUUAAGACUGCGAUAACUUCGGGAAACAGGUGCUAAACCGGAUACUCAGAGUUGGAUCCACGAUGCAGUCGCUAGUUGGUAAGGUAAAGGCUUACAAAGGCAACGAUGCAUCGCCGACCUGAGAGGGUGAUUGGCCACACUGGAACAGAGACACGGUCCAGACUCCUACGGGAGGCAGCAGUAGGGAAUCUUCCGCAAUGGACGAAAGCCUGACCGAGCAACGCCGCGUGAGUGAUGAAGGUCUUCGGAUCGUAAAACUCUGUUAUUAGAGAAGCGGUACCUAAUCAGAAAGCCACGGCUAACUACGUGCCAGCAGCCGCGGUAAUUC